This 612-nucleotide ribosomal RNA is filed under the name Keratinophyton durum. Its description in RNAcentral is "eukaryotic LSU rRNA". It matches the Rfam family "Eukaryotic large subunit ribosomal RNA", at positions 44 to 669 of the family's 3401-position model. The record is from RNAcentral. RNAcentral also lists the same sequence under 1 other name. Lineage: Eukaryota; Fungi; Ascomycota; Eurotiomycetes; Onygenales; Onygenaceae.
CAAUAAGCGGAGGAAAAGAAACCAACUGGGAUUGCCUCAGUAACGGCGAGUGAAGCGGCAAAAGCUCAAAUUUGAAAUCUGGCCCCGUCAGGUGCCCGAGUUGUAAUUUGGAGAGGACACUUCGGGUGUGGCUGCGGUGUAAGUCCCUUGGAACAGGGCGUCAUAGAGGGUGAGAAUCCCGUCUUGCGCCGCCGGACCAUGCCCAUGCGAAGUUCCUUCGACGAGUCGAGUUGUUUGGGAAUGCAGCUCUAAGUGGGUGGUAAAUUUCAUCUAAAGCUAAAUAUUGGCCAGAGACCGAUAGCGAACAAGUAGAGUGAUCGAAAGGUUAAAAGCACCUUGAAAAGGGAGUUAAAUAGCACGUGAAAUUGUUGAAAGGGAAGCGCUUGCAACCAGACUCGGUCGCGGGGGCUCAGCGGGCAUGCUUGCCCGUGUACUCCCCCGCGUUCGGGCCAGCAUCGGUUCCGGCGGUUGGUCAAAGACCUCUGGAAUGUGUCGUCCUCCGGGACGUCUUAUAGCCAGGGGUGCAAUGCUGCCAGCCGGGACCGAGGAACGCGCUUCGGCACGGAUGCUGGCAUAAUGGUUGUAAGCGGCCCGUCUUGAAACACGGACCCA